CAUUGUUAUACUAUUGAUAUUUUACGAAUAAGACAUAGUAAAAAAAAUACAAGUAAAUGAUGUGAAUACUCAGUAUAUGAUACCUCUUAAGGAUACUUUGGAAUACAUUAAAUAUAUAUGAUCAUAUCAAAAAUAAAUUUAAUUAAAUAACUUCCAUAAAUCCUCCCCAUCUGUCGACAAAUGACUCGUAUUUGUCUUUAGAAAGAUAUAAAUAUUCUAAUAUCUCCAGCCUUCUUUUCAAAAAUUUAAGAAACGCUUGCACAGAUAUUAACAGUCUGUCUAAUUGUGUGUUCUUAGCACAGUUGAUGUAAUACUUUGCCUGUAGAAUACAACAAUUUAAAACUAUGUUAUCAGAAUUUAAUACACCAAAAAUUACACUGUCUUUAUUUAAAAAUAUUUUUACUCCAAAUACUAAAUACCACCAAU
This 426-nucleotide long non-coding RNA is filed under the name Mytilus galloprovincialis (Mediterranean mussel). The record is from RNAcentral. Lineage: Eukaryota; Metazoa; Mollusca; Bivalvia; Mytilida; Mytilidae.